CUUUUCUUUGCAGGGUCAUGUGCUCUGCAGUUCAACUUGAAGGUUGCCUAAAAAGGUGGAUCAAGCUGUAUGGAGAUGGCGUCAGUUGACUUGAGGUGGGUGUUUAUGAGCAUCUCCAAUUAGUCUCUGCAGAUGGGCAUCAACUCAAUUGUUCUGGCUUAUUGCCUAUUGCUGUUCAUGAUGACUGUUUUAUAACAUUGGGAAUCUCUCUGAAUAAGACUGAAAGACCUCAUUAAUAAACUGAAACAGUACAGUUUAAAAUACUUAGGUUUUCUUUUCUUCGUUGUGUGGUAUUAAUUAAUUUUAUUUUUUAUAUAGGUUCCCCAAGAAGAUUGAAAAUGUAUGAAGACUCCAGCUGAUAUGGUAAACAAAUUGUUGUCUUUAAGUGAGAAGUUAACUUUUAAUUGUGUAGUAUCUCAAUGUUUUAGUAAAAUUGUAAUGCAAUGGUGCCCUUUUUUCCAAACUUGACUUUUAUAACCUAAAUUCUAUAACGCCACCCCUAAUUGUGAUGCAAAUGAUGACUGCAUAGUUCAGCAGAAUUUCCAUGUAGAACACAGAGCAAUGUCUUUCGCUCCUAGCUGAUGCAUCACCACAGUCCUAUUUCAAUAAUGCUCCACUCAUUGCCCAUGCUCACUUGUUGUUUCUCAUUGCAGCAAGAUGUCUGCAUGUGGCCAAUCGUUUCAGGUGAGUCUUAGUCUGCCAUAUAACCAUCCUAAAAUGUGAUGCAGAUGAUGACUGCAUAGUUCAGCAGAAACUCCAUGUAGAACACAGAGCAAUGUCU
Molecule: small RNA, 781 nt
Filed under: Danio rerio (zebrafish)
Lineage: Eukaryota; Metazoa; Chordata; Actinopteri; Cypriniformes; Danionidae
Description: gas5-008
Rfam family: Small nucleolar RNA snR60/Z15/Z230/Z193/J17 (bases 506-590)
Source: RNAcentral